CGAUCUUUUUGUUAGGUUCGAUCGUCGCUGCCGCCGUUUUUGUUGUGUUGGAAGUGACAUUGGGUCCCUCGUGUUCAUAACCGAAAUUGUGAAUUUUGGAGUUUGGCUCGCCAAUACUUCGUAUCUUUCGUGGGAUAUAGUUUGUUUAAGAAAUUGAGCAACCUUGAGGUAAGGGAUUUUCUACUGGACUCAACAACAAAAUUAAGAUAUAAUGACUAAUUAAGAUGUAUUGACUGUAUGGACCGUAUUAUAUUAUUUGAACUGAGUAGAGAUGACUGUUAUGAUGUAUGUUUGGACAUUGACUUAAAGUUUAAUGUUUGCUGUGUUUGACUGGGAGAAAUUAAUACAUAUAUGUGCAUGGGUUGAUGUGGACUGUGGUUGAGUA
Cucumis sativus (cucumber) is the source of this 385-nucleotide long non-coding RNA. RefSeq lists it as uncharacterized. The transcript is spliced from 2 exons. The record is from RefSeq and is a predicted model, not a curated record. Lineage: Eukaryota; Viridiplantae; Streptophyta; Magnoliopsida; Cucurbitales; Cucurbitaceae.